RNAcentral lists this ribosomal RNA (274 nucleotides) under uncultured bacterium. RNAcentral's name for it is "partial 16S ribosomal RNA". It matches the Rfam family "Bacterial small subunit ribosomal RNA", at positions 523 to 796 of the family's 1533-position model. The record is from RNAcentral.
AAACGUAGGAGGCGAGCGUUAUCCGGAUUUACUGGGCGUAAAGCGCGUGCAGGCGGUCUGGCAAGUCGGACGUGAAAGCUCCUGGCUCAACUGGGAGAGGCCGUUCGAAACUUCCAGACUAGAGGGCAGUAGAGGGAGGUGGAAUUCCGGGUGUAGCGGUGAAAUGCGUAGAUAUCCGGAGGAACACCAGUGGCGAAGGCGGCCUCCUGGACUGUCCCUGACGCUAAGACGCGAAAGCUAGGGGAGCGAACGGGAUUAGAAACCCGGGUAGUCC